GUGAAGGCUGGAAGUAAGGUUAAGGGCAAUGUAAUUAAUGUUGCUCCAACUUGGGACAUGAGAUCGAAAUCUCAAUUAAACUGUUUAUCGGCUGUCUCAUCCUUCAAACCGGUAAAACUCCUUCGAGUCAGAAAGACCCGGGUAUGUGCCGGCCCGUUGUUAAAAUUAUCAGUGAUUGCCGUUGUCCAUUCUCAGGUCAAUCCCUUAGAAAGAGAGAGUAUUCUUUAUUGUAUACCAAAAAACAAAUAAACAGUGCGAUACAUUAAACACAAAAAGUACAAUUGGCGGUCUUAUCGCUAAGAGCGAUCUCUUCCAGACAACCAUCAGGUGGACAAGAAUCAUUUGAAAACGAACUACUUAGUGGACUUUUACGAUACUUGUGGGAAGGAGGAGUGAUGACUUUUACCGGCGGCCACCAUAUUGGUAAAGUGGUUAAUGAUUCUCUUACCACGGUAUCCGGAUACGAUUUGAAGAAGAAUGAAGAACCCUUGAAUUCUUGACCUUUGUCAAGAACAAGACAAGACAAAGACAAAGGUCUAGUCAUAGCUCUAGUUUAGAGCCAAGCAAGAUUCCAUUGUGGACCUUUAAACACCUGGAGUAUUUGAACUCCUGGAAACGUUAUGAAAAUCCUCUAACUUUUGCAGUAUGUACAUACAAAUAAACUAUCCGGACAAAG
This is a long non-coding RNA of Bombyx mori (domestic silkworm), 676 nucleotides long. RefSeq lists it as uncharacterized. The record is from RefSeq and is a predicted model, not a curated record. The transcript is spliced from 2 exons. Lineage: Eukaryota; Metazoa; Arthropoda; Insecta; Lepidoptera; Bombycidae.